GAGCGGGAAGAGCUCAAAUUUAUAAUCUGGCACCUUCGGUGUCCGAGUUGUAAUCUCUAGAAGUGUUUUCCGCGUUGGACCGCACACAAGUCUGUUGGAAUACAGCGGCAUAGUGGUGAAACCCCCGUAUAUGGUGCGGACGCCCAGCGCUUUGUGAUACACUUUCAAUGAGUCGAGUUGUUUGGGAAUGCAGCUCAAAUUGGGUGGUAAAUUCCAUCUAAAGCUAAAUAUUGGCGAGAGACCGAUAGCGAACAAGUACCGUGAGGGAAAGAUGAAAAGCACUUUGGAAAGAGAGUUAACAGUACGUGAAAUUGUUGGAAGGGAAACGCUUGAAGUCAGACUUGCUUGCCGGAGCUUGCUUCGGUUUGCAGGCCAGCAUCAGUUUUCCGGGGUGGAUAAUGACGGUUUGAAGGUAGCAGUCUCGGCUGUGUUAUAGCUUUCCGUUGGAUACGCCCUGGGGGACUGAGGAACGCAGCGUGCUUUUUGCGAAAGACUCGUCUUUUUCACGCUUAGGAUGCUGGUGGAAUGGCUUUAAACGACCCGUCUUGA
Molecule: ribosomal RNA, 549 nt
Filed under: Rhodotorula diobovata
Lineage: Eukaryota; Fungi; Basidiomycota; Microbotryomycetes; Sporidiobolales; Sporidiobolaceae
Description: partial large subunit ribosomal RNA
Rfam family: Eukaryotic large subunit ribosomal RNA
Source: RNAcentral